UGGGGAAUAUUGCACAAUGGGCGCAAGCCUGAUGCAGCCAUGCCGCGUGUGUGAAGAAGGCCUUCGGGUUGUAAAGCACUUUCAGCGAGGAGGAAGGUGGUGAGCUUAAUACGCUCAUCAAUUGACGUUACUCGCAGAAGAAGCACCGGCUAACUCCGUGCCAGCAGCCGCGGUAAUACGGAGGGUGCAAGCGUUAAUCGGAAUUACUGGGCGUAAAGCGCACGCAGGCGGUUUGUUAAGUCAGAUGUGAAAUCCCCGGGCUCAACCUGGGAACUGCAUUUGAAACUGGCAAGCUAGAGUCUCGUAGAGGGGGGUAGAAUUCCAGGUGUAGCGGUGAAAUGCGUAGAGAUCUGGAGGAAUACCGGUGGCGAAGGCGGCCCCCUGGACGAAGACUGACGCUCAGGUGCGAAAGCGUGGGGCAGCAAACAGGAUUAGAUACCCUGGUAGUCCACGCUGUAAACGAUGUCGAUUUUGGAGGUUGUGCCCCUUGAGGCGUGGNUUCCGGAGCUAA
Molecule: ribosomal RNA, 511 nt
Filed under: uncultured bacterium
Lineage: Bacteria
Description: partial 16S ribosomal RNA
Rfam family: Bacterial small subunit ribosomal RNA
Source: RNAcentral